RNAcentral lists this non-coding RNA (21 nucleotides) under Caenorhabditis elegans. The record is from RNAcentral. Lineage: Eukaryota; Metazoa; Nematoda; Chromadorea; Rhabditida; Rhabditidae.
UAGUGAACCGAGUUGGCUGAC